GUUGAAUCCCAUCCUCCCCUACCUCCAUGUUCCUGGCUUCAUCUAAUUUUGGAAGCUAAGCGGGUUGGGCGUGGCAAGUACUGGGAUGGGAAAGAGCUUAGUUUUAUCU
This 109-nucleotide ribosomal RNA is filed under the name Mus caroli (Ryukyu mouse). RNAcentral's name for it is "rRNA (MGP_CAROLIEiJ_G0034126.1)". The record is from RNAcentral. Lineage: Eukaryota; Metazoa; Chordata; Mammalia; Rodentia; Muridae.